RNAcentral lists this ribosomal RNA (430 nucleotides) under Acidobacteriota bacterium. RNAcentral's name for it is "Acidobacteria bacterium partial 16S ribosomal RNA". It matches the Rfam family "Bacterial small subunit ribosomal RNA", at positions 355 to 776 of the family's 1533-position model. The record is from RNAcentral. Lineage: Bacteria; Pseudomonadati; Acidobacteriota.
UGGGGAAUAUUUGACAAUGGGCGCAAGCCUGAUCCAGCCAUGCCGCGUGUGUGAAGAAGGCCUUUUGGUUGUAAAGCACUUUAAGCGAGGAGGAGGCUACUUGGAUUAAUACUCUAGGAUAGUGGACGUUACUCGCAGAAUAAGCACCGGCUAACUCUGUGCCAGCAGCCGCGGUAAUACAGAGGGUGCGAGCGUUAAUCGGAUUUACUGGGCGUAAAGCGUGCGUAGGCGGCUUCUUAAGUCGGAUGUGAAAUCCCUGAGCUUAACUUAGGAAUUGCAUUCGAUACUGGGAAGCUAGAGUAUGGGAGAGGAUGGUAGAAUUCCAGGUGUAGCGGUGAAAUGCGUAGAGAUCUGGAGGAAUACCGAUGGCGAAGGCAGCCAUCUGGCCUAAUACUGACGCUGAGGUACGAAAGCAUGGGGAGCAAACAGG